This 253-nucleotide ribosomal RNA is filed under the name uncultured bacterium. RNAcentral describes it as "partial 16S ribosomal RNA". It matches the Rfam family "Bacterial small subunit ribosomal RNA", at positions 524 to 776 of the family's 1533-position model. The record is from RNAcentral.
UACGUAGGUGGCAAGCGUUAUCCGGAAUUAUUGGGCGUAAAGCGUGCGCAGGCGGUUUUGUAAGCCCGAUGUGAAAUCCCCGGGCUUAACCUGGGAAUGGCAUUUGGGACUGCAAGGCUCGAGUGCGGCAGAGGAGACUGGAAUUCCUGGUGUAGCAGUGAAAUGCGUAGAUAUCAGGAGGAAUACCGAUGGCGAAGGCAGGUCUCUGGGCUGACACUGACGCUCAUGCACGAAAGCGUGGGGAGCAAACAGG